RNAcentral lists this transfer RNA (85 nucleotides) under Kitasatospora kifunensis. It matches the Rfam family "tRNA". Rfam says of the family: Transfer RNA (tRNA) molecules are approximately 80 nucleotides in length. Their secondary structure includes four short double-helical elements and three loops (D, anti-codon, and T loops). The record is from Rfam by way of RNAcentral. Lineage: Bacteria; Bacillati; Actinomycetota; Actinomycetes; Kitasatosporales; Streptomycetaceae.
GGAGAGUUGGCCGAGUGGUAAGGCAGCGGCUUGCUGAGCCGUCGUCGGGGUCACACCCACGCGCGUUCGAUCCGCGCACUCUGCG